This 406-nucleotide ribosomal RNA is filed under the name uncultured bacterium. RNAcentral describes it as "partial 16S ribosomal RNA". It matches the Rfam family "Bacterial small subunit ribosomal RNA", at positions 29 to 526 of the family's 1533-position model. The record is from RNAcentral.
AUUGAACGCUGGCGGCAGGCCUAACACAUGCAAGUCGAACGAGUGGCGGACGGGUGAGUAAGGUCUGAAAAACUGCCCGACGGAGGGGGAUAACUACUGGAACAGGUAGCUAAUACCGCAUAACGUCGGCUGUGGCCCGAGUGGAUUAGCUAGUAGGUGGGGUAACGGCUCACCGAGGCGACGAUCCCUAGCAGGUCUGAGAGGAUGAACAGCCACACUGGAACUGAGACACGGCCCAGACUCCUACGUGAGGCAGCAGGGGGGAAUAUUGGACAAUGGGGGAAACCCUGAUCCAGCCAUGCCGCGUGUGCGAUGAAGGCGUUCGGGUUGUAAAGCACUUUUGGCAGGAAAGCGGUACCUGCAGAGUAAGCACCGGCUAACUACGUGCCAGCAGCCGCGGUAAUAC